Long non-coding RNA from Xyrauchen texanus (razorback sucker), 675 nucleotides. RefSeq lists it as uncharacterized. The record is from RefSeq and is a predicted model, not a curated record. NCBI's taxonomy places the organism in Eukaryota, Metazoa, Chordata, Actinopteri, Cypriniformes, Catostomidae. The transcript is spliced from 4 exons.
GAAAACACAACAUGGAUGCACACAAACCAGAGAAGAGAACUUACAAAGUGCCUGAAGUGUUUGCAGUCGAAAAAUAGAUGCAUUUCAAGCCUUAUUGGUUUGAACCAGAGUCCUCCAUCAAACAGCGAAUGGGCUGAAGGUCCCUUGGGCGGAAGACACACAUUCAUAAUGGAGAAGAGGUCACAGACAUUCCUGCAUUUGGGAGUCCUGUUGAAGCGAAACAUAACGAGUUUUCGCUUGAACGUAAGAAAGUUGUACACAUCUGGGAUGGCAUGAGGGCAUCAUUUUCCUUGUUUUCGACGCAGCCUUGAAGUUGCACUCACAUACUCCUGCGGAUCCACCGCAAGUCUCAAUCACCUGACAGUUUAAACGGCCUGGAUCGCCUACUUGGAUUGACACAGACUGACCAUCAUGAAUCAGAGGAACUUUUGAUCCUGAUCCUGACGUUUUUGUUUCUGGCUGAUGGAAUACGCGCUUCAGAGGAAGAUGUUAGAUGAGCGCUUGACGGGAAGAAAACACUGGAUUUUCAUGAGAGCUCACAUCCCAGAUCUUCAGGGUCUUGUCGUCAGAAGCGGAGACCAGGAGGUUGGAGUCUGAGGACCAGGCCACAUCCGAGAUGCCCUGCAGAUGAGAGAAAAAUCAAGUCUCUUGACUCCCUCUAUAAAAUAUCAGCAG